This is an RNA transcript of Oncorhynchus nerka (sockeye salmon), 5839 nucleotides long. It is a transcript of the gene named nucleoporin Nup37-like, with no coding region annotated. The transcript is spliced from 4 exons. The record is from RefSeq and is a predicted model, not a curated record. Lineage: Eukaryota; Metazoa; Chordata; Actinopteri; Salmoniformes; Salmonidae.
CUAGGCUAUGUAUCAGUUGUUGGUAUAAUCACCUGUACCAGUUGCUUGGGGGAAUAUUCUGGCUGUGUAUCGGGACAUUAUGCCAAAUCCGUCUGUUCCUGCGACUGCAAAUGUGUGAAAAUGCGUCUGUUUUUCUUGAAAUAUGUGUGUUUUGCUUGCGAUAUGUGUGUUUUUCUUGUCAUAAGUGAGUUAGUGUAAUUGUGUAAGUAAUUGCAGGCGCUGGUAUAUACUACGACUGAUUAGAGGCAAAGUCGUCUCCCAGGUGUUAGAAAUGCUCAGAUGGCGUGAGGAAUCUUUUGUUAUUCUCCAUGUUUAUCUUCGCAAUUAGAAUCUCCCUGGCAGUGUUUCCAUUGAUCCAUGUCCAAGUCUUUACCACACACACACACACACACAUCCAAAGGUGUCAGCCCGGGCUGCAGUGCAGUCAGACACACGCAUAGACAUGUACGUGUGCCCGAGUGUGUGUACGCAUGUCUUAUAGUAGGAUGGGCUCUGUUUUGAUGUUCUCUUUCUUUGUUUAUGUUUUUCUCUCUCUCUCCAUCUUUCCCACCAGAUUUUGCACUGCUGCAGCAGACAGAAAAGUGAGGCUGUUGACUUCUGAUCUUCAGAAUCAACAUGAAGUCAAGGUGAUGGAGGGUCACACCAGCUCCAUCAACCACUUAGUGUUUGAACCCACGGAGGGGAAACAAAUGGCUUCGGUCAGCGAUGACCAUACAUGCAGGUCAGUCCGAACCUCCUCCCGGUCUCAUUCAGCAAGAAUAAUAUGAGUGUGUGAGAGUGUGUCUUCCCCCAGUUCUUGGAUCUGUGUUCUGUUCUCUGUUAAUGGUGCAGAACGUCCUGACUGUGUUUCCAAAAUGAAACCCAAUGCUUAGCACAACACACCCCGGUGUUGCCGUGCGUAAGCACACAGCCGCUUCUCCAGCUUUUUAAAGUAAUUGGUUAAAUAUGGAUAUCCAAUUAGCUGCGGUACUGGUGGAGGUUGUUUCCCUCCUUAGGUUUGACUCUUAACAAGGUCCCCCAAUGUGGCCUAUCAAUCAGUAGCUAGGUAGUGGAGCAAGGAAGGAAAGAGUGUGUCGUUAGCCAAAGGGGUAACCUGGGCACAGGAGGUUGGUGGUACCUUAAUUUGGGAGAGCGAGCUCAUGGUAAUGACUGGAGCAGAAUCAGUGGAAUGGUAUCAAAUCCAUGGUUUCCAGGUGUUUGCUAUUCCAUUUGCUCCGUUCCGGCUAUUAUUAUGAGCCGUUCUCCCCUCAGCAGCCUCCACUGAACCUGAGGGGACCUCCUGUUACCUUAGUAACUAGGGUUGUUGCUAGGGUCUAGACAGGGCGAAAGCCUGGCCCAAAACCUACUCCCUCUUUGCUCCUUCCCACACAAUGUGAGCUCUUAUUGUUUGACCAGUGAUUGAUGGGGGAGAACGUUUAAUCAAGUUAGCAACUUAGAAAUGAAUGACUGGCCCCUACUUUUCUCUCCGCUAGAGCCUGAAAGAGCACGUCCCUCAUAUCCAUCUUUAAACCCAAAGCUCCCUGGAUGAGAAACACACCUGAAACAUCUGCUUCUAUUCAUAAACUCAUAAUUUCAGGAGCCUGAAGCUCGCGGUUACACUUCCAGUCAUCAAAUACAGGCCAUGGUUGAAUUAUCUCCUCAAUCUCCUUCCGGCCUGCCUAAAUGCUCUAAAGUGUUGGUUAGGAUGAGGGCUGUGGGGGGAGAGAGGCCUCCGCUAGGGCUGGUGAUGAAGCUCUGCUACUGCGAGAAACAUCAGCUCACAGUUCUCCCUCAGCCUCCCUCUAUAAUGGUCUGGCCAGAGAAAACAGGGGUACGCUCUCUCGGCUCCAUCUGCAGAAAGAUUUAACUUCUGUCACGUUGAGAAAAUAUGGGACGCAGGAGAAAGAGUGGGGUGGAACUAGGGAAAGAUCAAGUUAACAGGAGAGGGGCCUUCCAGGCAGCCCACACAAACUGAGACCCCUGAUAGGGUGAGAGAAAAGAACAGUGGACCGGCUUCUCUACUUGCGUGCGUGUUCGUACACUUGGCAAGUUGUCCUACCAUAACUCUGCUUUGUUCUUUGUCAGCCCUGUCCUUUCCUGCGUGGGAACUCUACUCCAGCCGGAGAGGCCACCUGUAGCAGCUAGAAGGAGGUCACAGCCUCCCACUGAGGUCAGAGUGUCUGCCAGAGGUCCCAACCUCUCUGGGCUCGGCUCCCAUUGUGUCUCAUAGCUUCCAGUUGGAUUUGCAGUAGGUAUGUUUCUGUUGUGUGAGAUGGAUUCCUCACUUCAGCCAGCUCUGGUUUCGUGUUGACAUGGAUCAGCAGAAUACAGCUUACUCAAGGGGCUUGAACAGAGACACCUGCUGCAACUAUUUGAUGUGCGAGAUCUACUCUGUGUGUGUGAUCUACUCUGUGUGUGUGAUCUACUCUGUGUGACAUCCUUUUGGGAAGUAUUUCUGAGGCGUUAUCACAACAGUUUGAGCCUUUCUCGCCACUCUAGCCCGUCAGUCAAGCUAUCUGUCAGUUAGUAUGUCCAUGUCCACUCUACAACAUCCCAGUCUUUCAUCUCCUCGUUUCUCCUUUUCUUCUCAUGUUCUCAAGCUUUUUUUGCUCCGUGCUACGGGAUCCCAUCAUCAACUCUAGCGAGAGGAGCAAACCGAUCCAAUAAAAAUGACUAAUGGCCGAGAUAAUUAUUUCAACAGUCCAAAUGUCUGUUAAAGAACAUGUUAUUGUUCAAGACACUUGAGCAGGUCUGAUCAAGAUGGAUGUUGGUGUGGUUUUGAGGAGAGGAGGACGGCGUGCUGUGCUCCUCUGCCUGGACUCCCCUGUGAGGCUCUGAGGUGUGAUUACUGUUUGUCUUUCUCAACCUUCGUUCUGCCGAGAGUCGCCAAGGUUAUUUACCCUGCACACUCUCAUAAUUUAGUUCACACGGUGCACACUACGUUUCCCAUUUCCUCCGCUCAUUUGGAAACCGUUGACCAAAAUGAAAAGGUGCGGCUGCUGUUGUCUCACUCACAUCUACACACAGACUUCAAAUGCAGUCUCGCCUUUCAACUCUAUUGUACACGAAGCCCAGUGUUAUUGCUUGAUGUCACGUCAGCUGUAGUGUUAUGCAGUUACAAAUCUCUUUGUCAGUGGUGGUCUCAGUCUUGUUUCUUGCCCCCUUUCACCUUGUUCAGCAAGGAUUACAUUGAAACAUUUUUUAAAUAAGAAUCUUUCCCCAUUUGAAGGGCAAAGUGGUGGACCACAACUUGGCCGGAUGUGGCGUAGCGUGCGAUUGAACUCUGCUUGGCGAGUGGUCUGAGUAGAGAGGGUUUAUGCUUGUUUGUCUGCUGUGGUCUGAGGUUUCCAACCUCGCUCAUGGUCUAUGGAGGAGGGUCUGCACCGCACUCUACACAGGGCCAUUCUGACUUCUGUGUUGUGUCAAGAAGCAAAAGCUCUCAUGGAGAAAUGUUUUAUCCCCUGCAGGGAAGACACAGGAAAAGUUGUGUUUGUUUAAUGAGGUCUUCAUCUGGGAUGGGGCAAAAUCAUAUCCUCUCCGCCGAUGACUCUGCAGACAUCUCUCCAACAUGUUUGACAUUUAGACAGGCUUUGGGUCUUUAUUAGAUGUCUUUUGCAUGACCUCAUCAGUCAACGCAUUCACAUCGGUCCCAACCAUACAGUCCUUUAAAAAACAUUUUUUAACCACUUGCAAGUUUAUUCCUCCCUGGUUCAGGGGAAUGUUCUGUUAGAUACGAGGCCUUGUGUUCGCUGAGGAGGGCUCUCAAAUGUGGUUGAAGAGUAGAUCCUGGUCUCGGGAGCAGCCUGUCCUCUCCAAGUGAUUUAUUACAUCCGGGCGCACGUUUGCCUUGUCCUCGGCCUUCUCGCUCGUCAGCGCAGGGCCCCGCCCGCCUGUCUUCACAGCUCAAGGGGGAGAUUACAACCAAGAUCCCUUUUUCCCUGAAAGAAGGGCAGUGCUAGUGAGGCUCUGUGUGCGCAUCUCUUGGACAACUGACAGAAGUUAGAUAAAUUACACACAGGCAUUACGUGCUUUCGUAAAAACACUGGCAUCACUACAGGCCUGGUGUGUGCUGCUCACUCAUUAGAGUACAUUCCCUAAAAGAGUCUCACAGACGCCUGGGGAAAGAUGGGUUUGGAUGGAAGCUUGUAACUUUUUUGACAUGGAUCCUGUGAGACAAAAACAGCCAGCCAGCCAGCCAUGAUGUCUUUGUUGUUUUUCAUAUUUUUAGCUGCCAUUAGCGUGUGUAAUCCUUUGUUUUGUGUGCUGUCAGCACCAAGGCGUCUGCCUGCGCUGUGCUGCGCGUCAUCUCCUCUCCCCACACAGGGGGUGGCUGGACUCCGGAAGCUAUUUUUAGCAUUGCCGCGCAUCCCACUCCAGCACAGCUAAUUGAGUGCUUAUUAAUUUUGUUUUUUGGACUUGAUAAUUUCUCAUUUUUGACAGGACCUGUUUUAUCUGAAGCUUCGGACCGGGUUGUUUGUUUGAAUCGCAGACUUCCUGUCUGAGGUUGUUUUCUAAACGGGUAGUUGAGGACAGGAGAAUAAUUUUCUUACAGUCCUUAAACGGUUCAUUUCCCCUGAGCACACCCCCUCUCCCUUUCAUGCCAGAUGGCCUCUCAGUAACAGUGCAUUCCAGUUUCAUCAUGAGAGUUUAAAUAAUUAGUGAGAGUGAAAAGUUCUAGUGUGAGAGUGAAAAGUUCUAGUGUGGGAGUGAAAAGAUCUAGUGUGGGAGUGAAAAGAUCUAGUGUGAGAGUGAAAAGUUCUAGUGUGGGAGUGAAAAGAUCUAGUGUGGGAGUGAAAAGAUCUAGUGCGGGAGUGAAAAGAUCUAGUGUGGGAGUGAAAAUAUCUAGUGUGGGAGUGAAAAGAUCUAGUGUGAGAGUGAAAAGAUCUAGUGUGGGAGUGAAAAGAUCUAGUGUUAGAGUGAAAAUAUCUAGUGUGGGAGUGAAAAGAUCUAGUGUGGGAGUGAAAAGAUCUAGUGAAAGUGAAAAGAUCUCGCCAUACUAAACCUUGAUCCUCUGUACAGCUGAUGGUGGCCGAGAAGAAGAGACGAUCUGCUUCUAUGACCUGGUUACCCAGCAAGCCAUUCUUUCUCUGGAUUGCGGCCAGUCGCCACUCAUGUCGGCCGACUGGUGCCUCGCCAACACCAUCAAGGUGGGCGCGGUGACGGGCAGCGACUGGGUCAUCUGGGAUAUUACCCGCUCCAGUUACCCACAAGAGAAGAGGCCUGCCCAUGUAGAACGAGCAGGAAACUUCAGAUAACUGCUUUGUCCAUGCUUCCAAGGUCAUUUCUAUCUGGUAUCAUUGGGAUGUCCCUCCCACAUUGAAAUUGAUAUGUUAAAUGGUUAAGGUAAAGGUUUAGGGUAGGAAUGUCCCAAGGAUCCUGAAUGCUUCCAAUUCCUCUGACCUUCAGAGUAUUGUGAUGCAUGUUGUGGUAGUCCGGCUGAUACCGCUGCUGCCGACGACGUCCAUGAUAAUGACUGUGGUGAUGGUGAUAAUGGUGAUGGCAAUUACUGUAACCACGGGUGUCAUGUCUUCCAGGUGUUCUCGGGUCAAUGAGAAUCUCUUCUCCACAACAGGAUGUCCAGGCAAGAUCAGCAGUCAGUUACUAGUGCAUCACCUGGGUCACCCGCAGCCCGUGAUGAUUGGAUCAGCCACGGUGGGGGCAGGUCUAAACUGGCAGAGGUCCCUCCCACUCUGUGUCAUUGGCGGUGACCGAAAGCUCUCUUUUUGGAUGACAGAAAUGUAAUGCAGUCACUUCCUAUGGACGUAUUAGAGGUAAUGCAAAUGUACAUUGAAACUGUUUGACCCGAGUUGUGGUCGGAUAUUUAUAUUUUCAUCAUUUUUCAAUAAAGUAUUUAAUUUUC